Molecule: ribosomal RNA, 275 nt
Filed under: uncultured prokaryote
Description: partial 16S ribosomal RNA
Rfam family: Bacterial small subunit ribosomal RNA
Source: RNAcentral
UACGUAGGGGCUAGCGUUAUCCGGAAUUACUGGGCGUAAAGGGUGCGUAGGUGGUUUCUUAAGUCAGAGGUGAAAGGCUAUGGCUCAACCGUAGUAAGCCUUUGAAACUGGGAAACUUGAGUGCAGGAGAGGAGAGUGGAAUUCCUAGUGUAGCGGUGAAAUGCGUAGAUAUUAGGAGGAACACCAGUUGCGAAGGCGGCUCUCUGGACUGUAACUGACACUGAGGCACGAAAGCGUGGGGAGCAAACAGGAUUAGAUACCCUGGUAGUCCCUGA